GACGAACGCUGGCGGCGCGCCUAACACAUGCAAGUCGAACGAGCGAGCGAGCGUUUGCUUUCUCAAGCGAGUGGCGAACGGGUGAGUAACGCGUGAGGAACCUGCCUUAAAGAGGGGGACAACAGUUGGAAACGACUGCUAAUACCGCAUAAGCCCACGUCCCGGCUUGGGGUAGAGGGAAAAGGAGCAAUCCGCUUUGAGAGGGCCUCGCUUCCGAUUUGCUAGUUGGUGAGGUAACGGCCCACCAAGGCGACGAUAGGUAGCCGGGCGGAGACGUCGAACCGCCACAUUGGGACGAAGACACGGCCCAGAAUCCUAGGCAAGGGGGGAGUGGGGAAUAUAGCACGAUGGAGCAAGCCCUGAAGAAGCGCGGCCGGGUGGAGGGAGAAGGUCUGCGGAAAGUAAUCUCGUGUUGUAGAGGGAGGGAAUGACGGUAAUGAACAAAGAAGCGACGGCUAACUACGUG
Molecule: ribosomal RNA, 466 nt
Filed under: uncultured bacterium
Lineage: Bacteria
Description: partial 16S ribosomal RNA
Rfam family: Bacterial small subunit ribosomal RNA
Source: RNAcentral